Lotus japonicus is the source of this 1344-nucleotide RNA transcript. It is a transcript of the gene named 28 kDa ribonucleoprotein, chloroplastic, with no coding region annotated. The transcript has 5 exons. Lineage: Eukaryota; Viridiplantae; Streptophyta; Magnoliopsida; Fabales; Fabaceae. The record is from RefSeq and is a predicted model, not a curated record.
CACUACCCCUUAUCUAUUCACAGUUUAUCCAAUAUCCAUUCAUCGUGUUGUGAUUAUACUAUGGCAGCGUUAGAAUCAUCACUUUCUGUGUUCGCACCUCAACGUUUCUCCACUAUCCAUCUCUUCCCUGCAAAACCACCCGAAUUCGUUAAGCUCCAUGCUUCCCUUUCCCACUCUCACAACCUUCUCUUCUCUUCCAAUGCCUCCUCCAAAACCCCAAAACCCUGCACUCAAUUAUGCUCUGCUUUGCAAGAAGUAGCAGAAGCAGCUACGGAGGAAGAACCAGAGCAAGACCAGCAAGCAACCUAUAUCAAGAAGAAGCUCUACGUGUUUAACUUGCCUUGGUCUAUGUCCGCCGCUGACAUCAAAGACCUCUUUGGACAGUGCGGAACUGUCACCGACGUCGAGAUAAUAAGGGGCAAAGAUGGGAGAGGCAAAGGAUAUGCUUUUGUUACUAUGGCUUCUGGGGAAGAGGCUCAGGCUGCUGUUGAUAAAUUUGACACUCUUGAAUUAUCCGGACGGAUAUUAAGGGUAGAGCUUGCAAAGAGAUUUAAGAAACCUUCUCCCCCAGGUCCUCCAAGUCCUCCUCCUAGUGAGGCACGUCAUGUAAUUUAUGCAUCCAACCUUGCAUGGAAAGUAAGAUCUACCCAUCUCAGAGAAUUCUUCACUGAGAAUUUCAAAGCACCACUUUCAGCCAGAAUUGUCUUUGAUACCCCUUCUGGAAGGGCAACUGGGUAUGGAUUUAUUUCUUAUCUUACAAAGGAGGAAGCAGAGGCUGCCAUAUCUGCUUUGGAUGGGAAGGAGUUAAUGGGACGAUCACUUUUUCUAAAAAUCAGUGAAAAAAAAGUUAAAGAAGCUGGAAGCGAAAAAGAUGAAGACUUAGACCAAGGUCAUGAUGCCCCAACAGAAGAAUCAUAAAUUCUAAAUAUUCAUGAUCUUUGGCGGCGGAACAUGGAGUGAGAGUAAACGUCUCUACGAGCUGGAAUUUCACCUCAUAUAUACAAAGCUAUGGGAUGCCUUUUUGUAUUCACAAUUUUUUUCACCAAGGUUAAGUUUGGUAUACCUUUACAAUGCAGGCGAAUUUUUUAUAAACUUUGAGAAAUAUUCUAGAGCUAUACCACCUGCUUGAUAUUGACCGUGGCCGUCGGAGAUGAUUUGGGCUACCAUGUUCUGGUGAUGUCAAUAGCCCAAUACAUAUGAAACUUACUAGAUUGAUUUACUUUUUAUAAUGCAAUCUACUUUUUAACAAACUUAAAAACUAAUAUUCUAAUUUGUGCAAGUCACUACUCACUAGAUUGAUUUAACUGUGUAAGAUUUGAGAAAUGUACUUAAGCUUAUAGAUUC